AAAGUUUCCUUCGGGAGGCGAGUAGAGUGGCGCACGGGUGAGUAACACGUAGGUAAUCUACCUUUGGAUGGGGAAUAACAACCGGAAACGGUUGCUAAUACCGCAUAAUGCAGCGGCACCUAAUGGUGACAGUUGUUAAAGCGGGGGAUCGAAAGACCUCGCGUCUGAAGAGGAGCCUGCGGCGGAUUAGCUAGUUGGUAAGGUAAUGGCUUACCAAGGCGAUGAUCCGUAACCGGCCUGAGAGGGCGGUCGGUCACACUGACACUGACAUACGGGUCAGACUCCUACGGGAGGCAGCAGUCGGGAAUUUUGGGCAAUGGGCGAAAGCCUGACCCAGCAACGCCGCGUGAAGGAUGAAAUCCCUCGGGAUGUAAACUUCGCAAGAACAGGAAGAAUAAGUAGGGGACAAUACCCCCUAUGAUGACGGUACUGUUUGUAAGCUCCGGCUAACUCCGUGCCAGCAGCCGCGGUAAUACGGGGGGAGCAAGCGUUGCUCGGAUUUACUGGGCGUAAAGGGCGUGUAGGCGGCCACCGCAAGUCGGUUGUGAAAUCUCCGGGCUUAACCCGGAAAGGUCAACCGAUACUGCGGGGCUAGAGUGCAGAAGGGGCAACUGGAAUUCUCGGUGUAGCGGUGAAAUGCGUAGAUAUCGAGAGGAACACCUGCGGCGAAGGCGGGUUGCUGGGCUGACACUGACGCUGAAACGCGAAAGCUAGGGGAGCGAACGGGAUUAGAUACCCCGGUAGUCCUAGCCUUAAACGAUGAAUGCUUGGUGUCUGGGGUUAUAUAGUCCCCGGGUGCCGUCGCUAACGC
RNAcentral lists this ribosomal RNA (811 nucleotides) under uncultured Bacillota bacterium. RNAcentral describes it as "bacterial SSU rRNA". It matches the Rfam family "Bacterial small subunit ribosomal RNA", at positions 70 to 858 of the family's 1533-position model. The record is from RNAcentral. Lineage: Bacteria; Bacillati; Bacillota.